ACAACUUGAGCUCAAGACAACUACACCUGAGCCAAAUAGACUCACCAGGGCACAUUCUUGUAAUUGAUUAUGAAUAUCAAGUUUUUAUUGCUAAUAAAAAAAGGAAAUUAGAUAUUAUUUUCAUGGACAAUGUGUUAUUUAUAAGUGAAAAUAUAAAUCUACUUAUAAAGCAUGCAAAAAAAAAAAAAAAGGAAGAAAUUAGAAUAAAGAACCCACCUGAAACGAACCCAGAUUGCUGGAUUCGAAGUCCAAAGUGCUAACCACUAUGAGAAGGGAAUCAUCGCAAAGUACAAACCCACACAAUCAGCACGUGAAUAUUAAUUGUUAGGGUUAAAAUAGCAAUAAGGGAAAGAAUUGAUUGGGGAGCAAUUAAGAAGGAAUAAAAGUAAUUAAAUUACUCCAACUUGUUUCUCCUUUUUAAUUUAAAACUUCAGAAUACAAUAGGUUGAUUGCUUAAGAUUUUGUUUGUUUCUUGAUAAAUUUUGAACUACUAGCCUUUCAUAGCAACAAACUACAUGCUUUUUACUUGAUUAAUCUUUUGAUGAUAAUGAUAAUUAAGACAAUAAGAUAUAGAGAAAGAGGCAACUUAAAAUUUUAUGUAACAUAUGGAGUUUAUACUAUUGGAAGGUUACCUGAGCAUGUAGGCACCCGCGCAAAUAAAAAAAUACUGCCAAACAUUCGUUAUGCAUUAAUUUUAAGUUGGUGUAUGACAUAAUUUUCGUAUUUCAAUUAAUAAUUAGACAUGACAUUAUUGAUUAUUAUUAGUCCUAAAGGGCAAAUUGCGGUAUAAAUUUAUUUUAGGGCUAUAGGCUAAUAAUUUUAUCAUCUAGUGUCUUAUAGCAUAGAAAGAAUCUUGUCAAGAAUGACUAUGAGAGAAAGGUGUUCCAAUAAGGCUUAUAAGACUAUAUUUGGUUUUGUAAGAACUUGGAUUUGGAAGAAAGCUUGAGGAAGUUGAAACUGCAUUUUGGCACCAUGAUGCAGAGGAUCAUACAAAGCAGAGCAAGAGAUACAAGGAAGAUAAAGAAGGAAACAAGUGAAGGAGAUAUCGAAUGAAAGAUUUGCCUGAUAGUUUACUUCAGAUAAUGAAAUUGACUAAAGAAAAACAUCAAGGCUUUUACCCUGGUAAUAUAUCAUAUCCUUAACUCAUACGAGUGAAGGCUAAAAAUCAUUCAAACUUCCAUUUCAUUCUUUAUCAGCAAUCAAUUGUACUUGAACCAUUUCAUUUCUUAGAAAAUAAACACCUCUCAAAAUACUAUAUUCCUAUAUUCAGCCUAUACUCCUAUGAUGUAUUUGGUAUGAUGUAGCUAAAUGUCUAUUUGGUGUUGAAUAAAUUAGAAUAAUAAAACUCUAAUUUAUCAAGAAGAAGAAAAACACUCUUAAGAACUAUCUAACAAAAUUGCAAAGAAGAAGAACACUUAAGAAAGCUUUCAAAACGCUUUUAUUUAAGCUUUGAUCCUUGGAUAAUAAAACUCAAAUACAAGGGGGGUAUUUAUAGAUUACAAGAAUCAAUCUACACCAUUCAUUAAAAUAAACACAAACUAAUCUAGACCAUUGAGAUUAAAGAAAUACUACCUAAUUUUCACCUAACUAAAAUGAUGUAGGCAAUGACAUCAAAUUAAUUUGGUGUCCUAACUUUGACCUAACUUUGAAUUUCAACAAUUGGGCUAAUAUUGAUCUUUAACACUCCCCCUCAAUGUUAGCCCCCCAUUCUUUGAAUUACGUCAAGUUGACAGCGGAAAUGUUCAAACUUUCCAACAUUCAAGCUUUUUGUAAGCAAGUCCGCAAUUUGCUUAUCUGUUUUGACUUGCCUCAUCUCAAUUUCUUCUUGCAGAACUUUCUCUCUAACAAAGUGAUAAUGUACUUCCACAUGUUUAGUUCUAGCAUGAAAAACUGGAUUUUCCGCUAGACGAAUUGCUGAUUGGUUAUCACAGUACAACGGAACUGCAUAAUCUACUGGUUGAUGUAGAUCAUUCAUCAGUUGUAUCAGCCAGGUGCUUUCUUGAGCUGCCAUUGCUGCUGCUCGAUACUCAGCUUCUGUGGUUGACAAUGAUACCGUCGGCUGUCUCUUACUACACCAAGAAAUCGUUCCAGAACCAAGCUUAAACAAAUACCCAGUUGUUGAUCUCCUGGUAUCAUGAUCUCCCGCAUAGUCAGCAUCACAGUAACCAACUAGUUUGCAAUCUUUACCUUUCUUGUACAAAAGACCAUAGUCAAUUGUACUCUUCACAUAUCUUAGUAUUCGUCGAACUACUUCCAAAUGAUGCUUCUUUGGAUUUUGCAUGUAUCGACUCAUCACGCCAACUGCAUAAGAAAUGUCAGGUCGAGUCAAGGUUAAGUAGAUCAAACUACCUACCAAUUGUCGAUACAUCGUUGCAUCUUCCAAAUCUUUUCCUUCAUGUGUACACAUUUUGGCAUUUGGUUCCAUUGGCGUCGAAAUUGGCUUGCACUCGAGCAUUCCAAACCUCUUCAAUAAAUCUUUGGAAUAUUUUUGCUGACAAAGAAAUAUCCCUUCUUGUGAACGAUCAAUCUCUAGACCAAGGAAGUGCUUGAGUUGUCCAAGUUCCUUCAUUUGGAAACGGACUGAUAAAUUCUCCUUUGUCUGAAGAACUUCUGCCUCAUCAUCACCGGUUAUGAUCAAAUCAUCCACAUACACUAGUACGAUAGCUAGUUUUCCUCCAUUGGCUUUGACAAAUAAGCUAGAAUCUGCAGGUGUUACUGAAUAACCACUUUGAGUUAGAAAUUCAGCAAUCUUACCAUACCAUGCCCUGGGAGCUUGUUUUAAUCCAUAGAGUGCUUUCUGUAGCUUACACACAUAUUCAGGAUGAUCUUGACUCUGGAAACCCAUUGGUUGAACCAUAUAGAUCUCCCGAUCCAGCUCUCCAUGAAGAAAAGCAUUUUUAACAUCCAUCUGCCAUAAACUCCAAUCUUUGUUGGCCGCCAGUGCAAGUAGGACUCGUACUGUUGUAAGUUUCGCCACUGGACUAAACGUUUCAUCAUAGUCUAGUCCAUAUUGUUGAGAGAAACCACGCGCUACCAAUCGUGCCUUGUACCUCUCGAUUGACCCAUCUGGACGACGCUUUAUCUUGUAAACCCACUUACAGGAUAUGGGUUUCACAUCUCUUGGCUUUGGUAUAAGUUUCCAAGUUUGAUUUUGCUCAAGUGCAGUAAUUUCUUCUUUCAUAGCUGUCAUCCAUUCUGAACUCUGCGAUGCUUCUUCAAACGUCUCAGGUUCUGUUACAGCUUCUUCUUUAAUUAUAGCUGCAUUGGCGUAUUUGGGAUUUGGCUUUCUAGUUCUUGUUGAUCUUCGGAGUUGAGAUUGUGGAGUUGAUUCUUCCGGUUCACUGGACCCAUCUUCUUCAUCUGGUUGUUGAUAUACCCCAGUUUGCCAAGGAUUCUGGCUUACUGUUUGUUCAUCAUCAUUCUUCCAUGGAUCUUCAACUUUUUCUGGACUUGAUUGAAUUUGGACAGUAUGCUCCCCCAUAUUCUGUUGCAGCUUGUCUUGAAAUUCUUUUGAGUCUGGCAAUACUCCCUUUUCUGAGGUCCACCAUGAGGAUGCUUCAUCGAACACCACAUCUCGUGAUGUGUAGCACCUUCCACUUGUUGGAUCACAACAUUUCCACCCCUUUCUCUGGUUAUCGUAUCCCACAAAGAUACAUCUGAUUGCUUUCUUAUCGAUCUUGCUACGUAGAUUGUCAGGAACAAAUACAUAGCAUACACAGCCAAAUACUCGAAGGUAGCUAACUGUAGGUUUCUUUUUCCACAAUUUCUCAAAGGGUGAAACAAAAUCCAACCUUUGUUGAGGAAGUUUAUUGAUGACAUGAGCUGCAGUUCUCAUAGCUUCGGCCCAAAAUCUUCCAGGUACAUUUUUCGCAUGUAACAUGCUCUGGCAAAUUUCUGCAAGAUGCCGGUUCUUUCUCUCAGCUACACCAUUUUGUUGUGGCGUGUUGGCACAAGUGUACUGAUGACGUAUUUGACAUGCCCGUAGAAAUUGAGAGAACUCUCCUGAGCUAUAUUCUCCCCCAUUGUCUGUGCGCAAGCAAUGAAUCUUUUGCUCCACUUCUCCUUCAAUCAUCUCUUUGAACUCUUUGAACUUUGAGAAUGCUUCAGAUUUGUCUUUCAUGAAGAAAACCCAUACAUAUCUAGAGAAAUCGUCAAUGAACGUCACCAUAUACCGCAUUCCGCCAAUUGAUGUUUGUCUAACAGGUCCAAACACAUCAGAGUGAAUUAACUCUAAUGGUUUCUUUGCUUUGAACUUUGACUCCUCAUAUGGCAGUUGAUGUGCUUUACCAUAUUGACAUCCUGCGCAGACUGUAUCCGUUCUCACAUCAAGUUGAGGAAGUCCUUCAAGCAUCGACUUCUUCACCAUCAUACUUAGCUUGGAAUAGCUAACAUGCCCUAAUCGCAUGUGCCAUAGAUCUGCUGUCUCAUUUUUCCUUGUCUUGUCUACAUAUGCAGACUCUGCUGACAUCACAUAGACCGACUCCAAUCGUUGCCCCUCCAUUAUCGGUUUUUCUAAGAUUUUAAGAUAACGAUAUACCUUUACAUCUUGAGGACCGAACAAGACAUAGUGGCCUGAUGAUGUCAAUUGAGCCACGGAUAGCAAAUUUUUCUUCAUUCCCUGAACAUGAUAGACAUCUUCGAGUGGAACUUGAUUGGGAUUAUAUCGAGGUGUAAUAAUAGCUUUACCAAUGUGAGCUAUUGGUAACCUUGAGUUAUCAGCCGUUAUCACAACACGAUUUCCCUUAUACUCAGAUAGGUCUUGCAGCUUCUGUUUAUCACCCGUCAUGUGAUUUGAGCAACCCGAGUCUACAAUCCAAUCAUUCUUAUAGUCUAUUCGUUUUGCUGUUGUUACCGUAAGAGCUAAUUCUUCUUUCUCCAUAGCAAAUGAUGCUUCGACAUCCCAAUCGUCUUCGAUAUUUUUCUUAGAACUGGAAGUAGCAGCAUUACUUUCAGCGGACUUUUUCUUGGACCAACAAUCUUUUGCCAUAUGGCCCAUCUUCCCGCAAUUGUAACACUCGCCAUCAAACUUUCUACUACUGCCGCGAUUCUUCGAAGCUCCCCCUGGACGAGAGCCUCCUUUUCCUUGGUGAUUUUUCAUCUUGUCACCACCCUUUUUAGAUCCACCUUUGUUGUAUUGUUUUGAACCACCUCUACUUUGGUUGGUGUAGAGCGCUUCCUCUUCACCCCUUAGCGAGACUCCUCCCAUUUGUUUAGCCAUAGCUUCUUGACCGGCCAACAAAUUUUCAAACUCAACAAGAGAUGGUUGUGUCGGCCAUCCUUGUACUGCUUAACAUCCAUCUGCCAUAUUCGCGACAUAUCGUCUUCACCUUGUGAAAGUAUUGGGCAACCGUCAUAUCACGUUGCGCCAUUGAUAGAAGUUCAUUCUCCAAAAGUUGCAAUUUUGUAUCGUUCUUCUUUGAAAAGAGUGUAGCAAACGUGUCCCACGCUUCUUUCGGUGUUUUGGCAUCCCGAAUGUGCUCCAACAUUUCUUCUUCUAUUGUGGUCUUUAAAGCAAACAUUGCUUUGCCUGCUUUAAUUUUCCACUUCCGUAAGACGCCGUUGGCAUCUUCUACUGCCGGUUGUGUAACUUCACUACCACCGACGACUUCCCACAAGUCUUGACCUUGUAGGUAAGACUCCAUACAUGUUGCCCACAUGUUGUAGUUUUGGUUGUUGAGCUUCUUGAUUCCUCCACUGACAUGAAGAUCACCCAUCUUUUGCCUUAAGUCAAAUAAAAUACCAAGAAAAUUUCUUUCAGAUGUGGAAGAUCAGUCUAAGCUGCAACCACAGUGCCUACUUAAAAUUAUCCGUGUAUUUAACUUGAACCUAGGCUCUGAUACCAAAUGUUGAAUAAAUUAGAAUAAUAAAACUCUAAUUUAUCAAGAAGAAGAAAAACACUCUUAAGAACUAUCUAACAAAAUUGCAAAGAAGAAGAACACUUAAGAAAGCUUUCAAAACGCUUUUAUUUAAGCUUUGAUCCUUGGAUAAUAAAACUCAAAUACAAGGGGGGUAUUUAUAGAUUACAAGAAUCAAUCUACACCAUUCAUUAAAAUAAACACAAACUAAUCUAGACCAUUGAGAUUAAAGAAAUACUACCUAAUUUUCACCUAACUAAAAUGAUGUAGGCAAUGACAUCAAAUUAAUUUGGUGUCCUAACUUUGACCUAACUUUGAAUUUCAACAAUUGGGCUAAUAUUGAUCUUUAAC
Molecule: long non-coding RNA, 6206 nt
Filed under: Jatropha curcas
Lineage: Eukaryota; Viridiplantae; Streptophyta; Magnoliopsida; Malpighiales; Euphorbiaceae
Description: long non-coding RNA (JCUR_LNC001360)
Source: RNAcentral